RNAcentral lists this ribosomal RNA (946 nucleotides) under uncultured bacterium. RNAcentral's name for it is "bacterial SSU rRNA". It matches the Rfam family "Bacterial small subunit ribosomal RNA", at positions 56 to 1009 of the family's 1533-position model. The record is from RNAcentral.
UGCAGUCGAGGGGUAUAGUUCUUCGGAACUAGAGACCGGCGCACGGGUGCGUAACGCGUAUGCAAUCUACCUUUUACAGAGGGAUAGCCCAGAGAAAUUUGGAUUAAUACCUCAUAGUAUAUAGCCCUGGCAUCAGGAUUAUAUUAAAGUCACAACGGUAAAAGAUGAGCAUGCGUCCCAUUAGCUAGUUGGUAAGGUAACGGCUUACCAAGGCUACGAUGGGUAGGGGUCCUGAGAGGGAGAUCCCCCACACUGGUACUGAGACACGGACCAGACUCCUACGGGAGGCAGCAGUGAGGAAUAUUGGACAAUGGGCGCAAGCCUGAUCCAGCCAUGCCGCGUGCAGGAUGACGGUCCUAUGGAUUGUAAACUGCUUUUAUACGAGAAGAAACACUCCUUCGUGAAGGAGCUUGACGGUAUCGUAAGAAUAAGGAUCGGCUAACUCCGUGCCAGCAGCCGCGGUAAUACGGAGGAUCCAAGCGUUAUCCGGAAUCAUUGGGUUUAAAGGGUCCGUAGGCGGUUUAAUAAGUCAGUGGUGAAAGCCCAUCGCUCAACGGUGGAACGGCCAUUGAUACUGUUAGACUUGAAUUAUUAGGAAGUAACUAGAAUAUGUAGUGUAGCGGUGAAAUGCUUAGAGAUUACAUGGAAUACCAAUUGCGAAGGCAGGUUACUACUAAUUGAUUGACGCUGAUGGACGAAAGCGUGGGUAGCGAACAGGAUUAGAUACCCUGGUAGUCCACGCCGUAAACGAUGGAUACUAGCUGUUGGAAGCAAUUUCAGUGGCUAAGCGAAAGUGAUAAGUAUCCCACCUGGGGAGUACGUUCGCAAGAAUGAAACUCAAAGGAAUUGACGGGGGCCCGCACAAGCGGUGGAGCAUGUGGUUUAAUUCGAUGAUACGCGAGGAACCUUACCAAGCUUAAAUGUAGAUUGACCGGUUUGGAAACAG